Molecule: ribosomal RNA, 495 nt
Filed under: uncultured bacterium
Lineage: Bacteria
Description: partial 16S ribosomal RNA
Rfam family: Bacterial small subunit ribosomal RNA
Source: RNAcentral
UGAACGCUGGCGGCGUGCCUAAUACAUGCACGUCGAGCGACCAGAUGAGGAGCUUGCUCCUCUGACGUUAGCGGCGGACGGGUGAGUAACACGUGGAUAACCUACCUAUAAGACUGGGAUAACUUCGGGAAACCGGAGCUAAUACCGGAUAAUAUAUUGAACCGCAUGGUUCAAUAGUGAAAGACGGUUUUGCUGUCACUUAUAGAUGGAUCCGCGCCGCAUUAGCUAGUUGGUAAGGUAACGGCUUACCAAGGCAACGAUGCGUAGCCGACCUGAGAGGGUGAUCGGCCACACUGGAACUGGGACACGGUCCAGACUCCUACGGGAGGCAGCAGUAGGGAAUCUUCCGCAAUGGGCGAAAGCCUGACGGAGCAACGCCGCGUGAGUGAUGAAGGUCUUCGGAUCGUAAAACUCUGUUAUUAGGGAAGAACAAAUGUGUAAGUAACUAUGCACGUCUUGACGGUACCUAAUCAGAAAGCCACGGCUAACUACGUG